GACGAACGCUGGCGGCGUGCCUAAUACAUGCAAGUCGAGCGAAGUUUUUCUGGUGCUUGCACCGGAAAAACUUAGCGGCGAACGGGUGAGUAACACGUAAAGAACCUGCCUUAUAGACUGGGACAACUAUUGGAAACGCUAGCUAAUACCGGAUAACAGCAUUACCUGCAUGGUUGAUGUUUGAAAGUUGGUUUUGCUAACACUAUGAGAUGGCUUUGCGGUGCAUUAGCUAGUUGGUGGGGUAAAGGCCUACCAAGGCGACGAUGCAUAGCCGACCUGAGAGGGGGAUCGGCCACACUGGGACUGAGACACGGCCCAGACUCCUACGGGAGGCAGCAGUAGGGAAUCGUCCGCAAUGGGCGAAAGCCUGACGGAGCAACGCCGCGUGAGUGAAGAAGGAGUUCGGUGCGGAAAGCUCUGUUGUUAGGGAAGAAUGAUUGUGUAGUAACUAUACACAGUAGAGACGGUACCUAACCAGAAAGCCACGGCUAACUACGUG
This 499-nucleotide ribosomal RNA is filed under the name uncultured bacterium. RNAcentral describes it as "partial 16S ribosomal RNA". It matches the Rfam family "Bacterial small subunit ribosomal RNA", at positions 28 to 507 of the family's 1533-position model. The record is from RNAcentral.